AGAGUUUGAUCCUGGCUCAGGACGAACGCUGGCGGCGUGCUUAACACAUGCAAGUCGAACGAUGAAGCCCUUCGGGGUGGAUUAGUGGCGAACGGGUGAGUAACACGUGGGUAACCUGCCCUUGGCUUUGGGAUAAGCCCUGGAAACGGGGUCUAAUACCGGAUAUGACUACUUCACGCAUGUGGGGUGGUGGAAAGUUCCGGCGGCCAGGGAUGGGCCCGCGGCCUAUCAGCUUGUUGGUGGGGUGAUGGCCUACCAAGGCGACGACGGGUAGCCGGCCUGAGAGGGCGACCGGCCACACUGGGACUGAGACACGGCCCAGACUCCUACGGGAGGCAGCAGUGGGGAAUAUUGCACAAUGGGCGAAAGCCUGAUGCAGCGACGCCGCGUGAGGGAUGACGGCCUUCGGGUUGUAAACCUCUUUCGACAGGGACGAAGCGAGAGUGACGGUACCUGUAGAAGAAGCACCGGCUAACUACGUGCCAGCAGCCGCGGUAAUACGUAGGGUGCGAGCGUUGUCCGGAAUUAUUGGGCGUAAAGAGCUCGUAGGCGGUUUGUCGCGUCGACUGUGAAAACUGGGGGCUUAACUCUCAGCUUGCAGUCGAUACGGGCAGACUUGAGUUCGGUAGGGGAGACUGGAAUUCCUGGUGUAGCGGUGAAAUGCGCAGAUAUCAGGAGGAACACCGGUGGCGAAGGCGGGUCUCUGGGCCGAUACUGACGCUGAGGAGCGAAAGCGUGGGGAGCGAACAGGAUUAGAUACCCUGGUAGUCCACGCUGUAAACGUUGUAUACUAGGUGUUAGUGGCUUGUCCACUAGUGCCGCAGCAAACGCAUUAAGUAUACCGCCUGGGGAGUACGCCCGCAAGGGUGAAACUCAAAGGAAUUGACGG
RNAcentral lists this ribosomal RNA (889 nucleotides) under uncultured bacterium. Its description in RNAcentral is "bacterial SSU rRNA". It matches the Rfam family "Bacterial small subunit ribosomal RNA", at positions 8 to 916 of the family's 1533-position model. The record is from RNAcentral.